GACGAACGCUGGCGGCGUGCUUAACACAUGCAAGUCGAGCGGUAAGGCCCCUUCGGGGGUACACGAGCGGCGAACGGGUGAGUAACACGUGAGCAAUCUGCCCAUCACAUCGGGAUAACUCCGGGAAACCGAAGCUAAUACCGAAUACGACCACCUCCGGCAUCGGAUGGUGGUGGAAAGUUCCGGCGGUGAUGGAUGAGCUCGCGGCCUAUCAGCUUGUUGGUGGGGUAACGGCCCACCAAGGCUUCGACGGGUAGCCGGCCUGAGAGGGUGACCGGCCACACUGGGACUGAGACACGGCCCAGACUCCUACGGGAGGCAGCAGUGGGGAAUAUUGGACAAUGGGCGAAAGCCUGAUCCAGCAACGCCGCGUGAGGGAUGACGGCCUUCGGGUUGUAAACCUCUUUCAGCAGGGACGAAGCGCAAGUGACGGUACCUGCAGAAGAAGCACCGGCCAACUACGU
Molecule: ribosomal RNA, 464 nt
Filed under: uncultured bacterium
Lineage: Bacteria
Description: partial 16S ribosomal RNA
Rfam family: Bacterial small subunit ribosomal RNA
Source: RNAcentral